AUUGAACGCUGGCGGCAGGCCUAACACAUGCAAGUCGAACGAGUGGCGUACGGGAGAGCAAUGUCUGGGAUACUGACUGAUGGAGGGGGAUAACUACUGGAAACGGUAGCUAAUACCGCAUUCAGUCGGAUGUGCCCAGUUGGGAUUAGCUAGUUGGUGGGGUAAAGGCUCACCAAGGCGACGAUCCCUAGCUGGUCUGAGAGGAUGACCAGCCACACUGGCACUGAGACACGGCCCAGACUCCUACGGGAGGCAGCAGUGGGGAAUAUUGCACAAUGGGCGCAAGCCUGAUGCAGCCAUGCCGCGUGUAUGAAGAAGGCCUUCGGGUUGUAAAGUACUUUCAGCGGGGAGGCGUUACCCGCAGAAGAAGCACCGGCUAACUCCGUGCCAGCAGCCGCGGUAAUUC
Molecule: ribosomal RNA, 406 nt
Filed under: uncultured bacterium
Lineage: Bacteria
Description: partial 16S ribosomal RNA
Rfam family: Bacterial small subunit ribosomal RNA
Source: RNAcentral